Long non-coding RNA from Lathyrus oleraceus (garden pea), 464 nucleotides. RefSeq lists it as uncharacterized. NCBI's taxonomy places the organism in Eukaryota, Viridiplantae, Streptophyta, Magnoliopsida, Fabales, Fabaceae. The record is from RefSeq and is a predicted model, not a curated record. The transcript is spliced from 2 exons.
ACACAUAUGAUGGGGAAAUGGAUGGCUUGAAGGAUAAGUUUGACUUGGUGAUAGCUUUUGGCUUGAGCAACUUGGACAUGGUGCAAUUCAGAAACUAGUACAAAGCAGGGUCUGAACUAAAAUGAGGUUUGGAAUCAGUGGGUUGUACCCAAUAUAAUACAUUAAUUGAUGGGGUCAAACACGAAUGCAAUUAGCAAAGAUAAUGGCACACUUGAAUGAGCUGCUCCUCCAUGGAGAAAGGAUCAAAUUAAAAGAACCCAAUUGGUUUUGAAAAUAGGAAUCAAAUUAAUAUCAAUAAUGUAGACCGUGCUCUUUUGUUAUUUUCCUUUGUAUUAUUGUGGCCUUGUAGCUAAAAACCCUUGUAAUUUAGGAUGAAGAUGUUUAAAAAAUAUUGUAUCAAAUCUUCUAAAAAUGUUUCGAUGUACUCUUAAAAUGGAAUGAAUUUGGAUGAAGGGUGACUUGUA